GAUGGACGCUGGCGGUAUGCUUAACGCAUGCAAGUCGAACGGUCUUUUCGGAGAUAGUGGCGGACGGGUGAGUAACGCGUGAGAAUCUGGCUUCAGGUCGGGGACAACAGUUGGAAACGACUGCUAAUACCGGAUAUGCCGAGAGGUGAAAGGCUUGCUGCCUGAAGAUGAGCUCGCGUCUGAUUAGCUAGUUGGUGGGGUAAGAGCCUACCAAGGCGACGAUCAGUAGCUGGUCUGAGAGGAUGAUCAGCCACACUGGGACUGAGACACGGCCCAGACUCCUACGGGAAGCAGCAGUGGGGAAUUUUCCGCAAUGGGCGAAAGCCUGACGGAGCAAUACCGCGUGAGGGAGGAAGGGCUCUUGGGUCGUAAACCUCUUUUCUCAGGGUAAGAAAAAAUGACGGUACCUGAGGAAUAAGCAAUCGGCUAAC
This 431-nucleotide ribosomal RNA is filed under the name uncultured bacterium. Its description in RNAcentral is "bacterial SSU rRNA". It matches the Rfam family "Bacterial small subunit ribosomal RNA", at positions 28 to 501 of the family's 1533-position model. The record is from RNAcentral.